Felis catus (domestic cat) is the source of this 1171-nucleotide long non-coding RNA. RefSeq lists it as uncharacterized. Lineage: Eukaryota; Metazoa; Chordata; Mammalia; Carnivora; Felidae. The transcript has 4 exons. The record is from RefSeq and is a predicted model, not a curated record.
GCCAGUGUCUGGCAGGGAUGACUCCAUCAGGACCUGCCCAUCAGGUAGCUGUGCCCUCUACCCAUCAUCACAAAUGGCCCACGGCUCACCUACAACAAGCCCGACCUCACAAGGCCCAACCCCUGGCUCGCAGCCCAUCAUGGUGCCCACUGUGUCAUUCACCACGGCAACCACAUCGAUGCUGUAGGCCUGGACAAUGGAGAGAGCAGAGGUAGUUGCUUCUGCCAUUCGACAUCCUCUUAUCUUUGGAGUCUGCAAGUACACUGAAGACAGACCACAUCUCUGUUCUGCACUGAAAGCUCCUGGGCAAUGUGGUCAGAUCCAAGAACUCUGCAGCGAUUAAUUCAACAGUAUGCGUGAGCACUGCAGCACUACUACCUAACACUUGCUUCAAAGGACAGCAUGUCCUAACCAAUCAAUGUGAAACUGUCCUGCAUAGCCAGCCACUGCUUCCACUUAAGAGCAAGGAACACCUGGGCUGUUAUUAUGCCUUACUAUGGGAAAAAAAAUAAACCCUCUUCUGGUACAAGGACCAAAACUGCAACAGGACUCAACACAGUUUACUUAAAAACCAACUGACUACACCAACUGUUUGAUGCUGAGUAACUUCUAUUAACAUUUCUGAGAAAAGACUAUCUGAAACUCCAACCAAGGGGUUCUCUCAGGCAAGAUAUUCAGAAAAUACUAUUUCCAAAGGAACCUGACCACUGCAAGAAGUCAAAUCAAGGAUUACAGUUCUGCCGUGGUAUUCCAAAUAAAUACUUUUGAGCAAUUCUCUGUCAUUAGUAAGUUAGUAUCCCUGAACAGCCACAAUAUAUUACAAAGCAGUAAAAUAAUAACUGGUUCCACAUACAUACUUCUACUUGUGCCAAAUCUCUACUAUGUGUUUUAUAUUCUUUAUCUAAUUUAAUCUUCAGAGCAACCCAGUAAAAUAGGUUCUUUUUUGUCUCCAUUUUACAUAUGAAGAACUGAAAUUCAAAAAAGCAUUCUUCUUCUAUGUUCCCCUAAUGCUCUGGGCAUCUCUAUCAUUACGUUUGUCAGACCACAUUAAAAUUAUCUAUGUGUCUAUCGCCUCCUUUACCACCAGGACCCUUUGAGAGAAGCGACUGUUUUUUUGUUGUUGUUGUUUUAUCUUUGUAUCUCAAGAGUCUAAAACAAUGACUGGCACACA